RNAcentral lists this ribosomal RNA (119 nucleotides) under Olea europaea subsp. europaea. Lineage: Eukaryota; Viridiplantae; Streptophyta; Magnoliopsida; Lamiales; Oleaceae. The record is from RNAcentral.
GGGUGCGACCAUACCAGCACUAACGCACCGGAUCCCAUCAGAACUCCGAAGUUAAGCGUGCUUGGGCGAGAGUAGUACUAGGAUGGGUGACCCCCUGGGAAGUCCUCGUGUUGCACCCC